Molecule: long non-coding RNA, 932 nt
Organism: Globicephala melas (long-finned pilot whale)
Lineage: Eukaryota; Metazoa; Chordata; Mammalia; Artiodactyla; Delphinidae
Source: RefSeq, a predicted model, not a curated record
CGCCUGUCAGAGCGUGGAAUGUAAGCCCUUCUGCGCACUUAUUUUUAUUCCGGGGGCCUUUCUUCCUCGUCCUCCUCCUCUAUUUUUUCCCCUUCUGUUCAGCUAUUUGUGUUUUCUGAUCGGAGGUUCUAAGAGCUUCAAGAAAAGUCAUCCUUUCCAGGUAGAACAGUCAAAGAGGGUGGACAAGAACCUUGCUUUCUCUUUUCUCCAUUUCUGGCCACACCAAGAGGGAGGAGAUGAUUUGUGAGUAGUGGAGAGUGCUGGACUCUGGGCUUCGACGAUUUUCUGAUGCGAAGAUUCAGCUGCCUGGGGGAGAUGCAGGGCGGUGGCCCGAUUCCCGGGGAGUCACAAAGUAGGCAGUCAUCAAGUGAGAGAUGGGGGACCCUAGAGUCGGAGGUGGAGGAAUCACAGAGAGGGAAGGUGGGGGAUCAGCAAGUCAAAAAAGGGAGAAUCCUAGAAUCCGAAGGUGGGGUAUUCUAGAGUCAGAAGGUGGGGAGGGCGGGUAUCAUAGAACCAGAAUGUAGGAGUGCUGCAGAGACCGAUUUCAAAUGAAAGAAAUAUCAGAGUAGCUACCUUCAGAUGACCCCUCCCUAGGGACUGAGGGCGCAGGCGGCCAGGCCUCCACGAACACCCCACAGACAGCGGAUUCAGCCUUCCGGCUGAUGGUGCAGCCUCUGCACGCUUGCCUUAGCGCCACCCCCAAUUAUUCCACUUCUCGGGCCAGUGUUUCCUGAGGUUCGCCAGCAAGAAUCCACCCAGCAAUUAUCUCCCCUCUCGCGCUCAUGGGGGGACAUUAACCACGAACGCGCUGGAGAAGAAAGCCCACUCCCUGCGUGUGCGGGAGUGUGACUCUGAAGUCACGGAGCCACCUGCAGCCGGGUCUUGUGGAUUUCCGACGCGGGGCCCGCUGAGGAGGGAAAAGUGCCCCUGUG